RNAcentral lists this ribosomal RNA (446 nucleotides) under uncultured bacterium. RNAcentral's name for it is "bacterial SSU rRNA". It matches the Rfam family "Bacterial small subunit ribosomal RNA", at positions 329 to 792 of the family's 1533-position model. The record is from RNAcentral.
CCCCAGACUCCUACGGGAGGCAGCAGUGGGGAAUAUUGCACAAUGGGGGAAACCCUGAUGCAGCGACGCCGCGUGAGCGAUGGAGUAUUUCGGUAUGUAAAGCUCUAUCAGCAGGGAAGAAAAUGACGGUACCUGACUAAGAAGCCCCGGCUAACUACGUGCCAGCAGCCGCGGUAAUACGUAGGGGGCAAGCGUUAUCCGGAUUUACUGGGUGUAAAGGGAGCGUAGACGGCAAUGCAAGCCAGAUGUGAAAGCCCGGGGCUCAACCCCGGGACUGCAUUUGGAACUGUGUAGCUGGAGUGUCGGAGAGGCAGGCGGAAUUCCUAGUGUAGCGGUGAAAUGCGUAGAUAUUAGGAGGAACACCAGUGGCGAAGGCGGCCUGCUGGACGAUGACUGACGUUGAGGCUCGAAAGCGUGGGGAGCAAACAGGAUUAGAUACCCCAGUA